This 478-nucleotide ribosomal RNA is filed under the name uncultured bacterium. Its description in RNAcentral is "partial 16S ribosomal RNA". It matches the Rfam family "Bacterial small subunit ribosomal RNA", at positions 28 to 507 of the family's 1533-position model. The record is from RNAcentral.
GACGAACGCUGGCGGCGUGCUUAACACAUGCAAGUCGAACGGGCUGCCUGGUUUUCGGCUCGGGUGGUGAGUGGCGAACGGGUGAGUAACACGUGAGUAACCUGCCCCUCUCUUUGGGAUAACGUCGGGAAAUCGGCGCUAAUACCGGGUAUUCUGGCUUCCUCGCAUGGGGUUGUUGGGAAAGGUUUUUUCUGGUGGGGGAUGGGCUCGCGGCCUAUCAGCUUGUUGGUGGGGUGAUGGCCUACCAAGGCGGUGACGGGUAGCCGGCCUGAGAGGGUGUCCGGCCACACUGGGACUGAGACACGGCCCAGACUCCUACGGGAGGCAGCAGUGGGGAAUAUUGCACAAUGGGCGGAAGCCUGAUGCAGCGACGCCGCGUGGGGGAUGACGGCCUUCGGGUUGUAAACCUCUUUCAGUGCAGAACAAGGCUCUUUGUGGGUUGAGGGUAUGCGCAGAAGAAGCGCCGGCUAACUACGUG